RNAcentral lists this ribosomal RNA (481 nucleotides) under uncultured bacterium. RNAcentral describes it as "bacterial SSU rRNA". It matches the Rfam family "Bacterial small subunit ribosomal RNA", at positions 28 to 509 of the family's 1533-position model. The record is from RNAcentral.
GACGAACGCUGGCGGCGUGCCUAACACAUGCAAGUCAACUUGACUGAAGGAGCAAUCUGACAGUAGAGUGGCGCAAGGGUGCGUAACGCGUAAGUAACUUGCCCAAGGUAAGGAAUAACGUCGAGAAAUCGGCGCUAAUACCUCAUAAUGCAGCGGAUCCGCAUGGAUAUGUUGUUAAAGGUUUACCGCCUUGGGAUAGGCUUGCGUCUGAUUAGUUAGUUGGUGUGGUAACGGCACACCAAGGCUACGAUCAGUAACUGGUCUGAGAGGAUGAUCAGUCACACUGGAACUGAGACACGGUCCAGACUCCUACGGGAGGCGGCAGUGAGGAAUAUUGGGCAAUGCUCGAAAGAGUGACCCAGCAACGCCGCGUGGAGGAUGAAGGUAUUCUAUAUCGUAAACUCCUGUGAGAGCAGACGAAAGACAGAUUAUUAAUCUGGAUGACUGUAUGCUCAGAGGAAGCCCCGGCUAACUACGUGCC